GUGGGGAAUAUUGGACAAUGGGGGGAACCCUGAUCCAGCCAUGCCGCGUGCAGGAUGAAGGCCUUCGGGUUGUAAACUGCUUUUGUACGGAACGAAAAGACUCCUUCUAAUAAAGGGGGUCCAUGACGGUACCGUAAGAAUAAGCACCGGCUAACUACGUGCCAGCAGCCGCGGUAAUACGUAGGGUGCAAGCGUUAAUCGGAAUUACUGGGCGUAAAGCGUGCGCAGGCGGUUAUAUAAGACAGAUGUGAAAUCCCCGGGCUCAACCUGGGAACUGCAUUUGUGACUGUAUAGCUAGAGUACGGUAGAGGGGGAUGGAAUUCCGCGUGUAGCAGUGAAAUGCGUAGAUAUGCGGAGGAACACCGAUGGCGAAGGCAAUCCCCUGGACCUGUACUGACGCUCAUGCACGAAAGCGUGGGGAGCAAACAGGAUUAGAUACCCUUGUAGUCC
This 450-nucleotide ribosomal RNA is filed under the name uncultured bacterium. RNAcentral's name for it is "partial 16S ribosomal RNA". It matches the Rfam family "Bacterial small subunit ribosomal RNA", at positions 354 to 796 of the family's 1533-position model. The record is from RNAcentral.